Molecule: long non-coding RNA, 398 nt
Organism: Daucus carota subsp. sativus
Lineage: Eukaryota; Viridiplantae; Streptophyta; Magnoliopsida; Apiales; Apiaceae
Exons: 2
Source: RefSeq, a predicted model, not a curated record
UUAUGUUGCUAUAUGUUCGAAGAAAGGUAUUGAUUCUAAGAGCACACAUCUUCAGUUUUGGAUAGAGGCAUUGAGAGGUGUUAAGAAGAACACGAUUCUUGGACAUCCGCGGCUCCGUGCCUCUCAUAUUUAUGGGCAAGGCUAUCGACACUGGGGAUGAAGCUGACGUUGAUAAAGCCGGAAGUGGUAAUGAAAGCACGGACUCCGAAGUCCAUGAUAUGAGUCAUCCUUGUGUUGUUGUCUCUAGGGGAGGUCCGGUUAUUAAGGGUUGAUGUUAAGUUGUGUGAAUGUAAUUGAAUUUGUUGGGAUGUUUUUGGAUGUUUUACUCUUUUGUUUGUGUAUGACUAUGUGUUUGGGAUGUUUUGGUUAAUGAAAACUAUGGUAUUGUGGAUUGAUUA